GGCCAUGGAUUCGGACACAGGUGUUUUAGAUGAUGCUGCUGAUCUCCUGGACUUGGUGCACCAGGAAGUCGGUGAAAUUUCUACCAGGAUGGCUGCCCUGACAGACAGAAUAAAUAUGUGUAACGCUGUCUUGGAUGACUUGAAAGCACUGAAGGUCUUACUGGACAAAUCUCUACCAGAUGUAUACUUAAAGUCACAGCCAGAACCUGGAGAGCCACUUCCCAAAACGUCCCCAUGAAAUGUAACUGAAUAAAAGCUGUCAAUCCUG
Molecule: long non-coding RNA, 268 nt
Organism: Xiphophorus hellerii (green swordtail)
Lineage: Eukaryota; Metazoa; Chordata; Actinopteri; Cyprinodontiformes; Poeciliidae
Exons: 4
Source: RefSeq, a predicted model, not a curated record